GAGAAAAGCUGAAUCACUCAGCCCAGAGGAAGUCUGAGGAGGCAUAAAGAAGUCUUGGAAAUCCCCUGAAAAAAAGAAUCAGCUGUAGGCUAACCCAAGAAGAAUAAAGCAUCGGCUUCCCUGACAUGCUGCUCCCCACAAAACAGAGUGCCAAUAUGAUUCCAAGGUUCUUAGCACACUGUAUAUUACCUCACUCCUCCUACAG
This 205-nucleotide long non-coding RNA is filed under the name Pan troglodytes (chimpanzee). RNAcentral's name for it is "lincRNA". The record is from RNAcentral. Lineage: Eukaryota; Metazoa; Chordata; Mammalia; Primates; Hominidae.